RNAcentral lists this ribosomal RNA (810 nucleotides) under Triticum aestivum (bread wheat). Its description in RNAcentral is "partial small subunit ribosomal RNA". The record is from RNAcentral. Lineage: Eukaryota; Viridiplantae; Streptophyta; Magnoliopsida; Poales; Poaceae.
AUGGCGACGUCGUGGGCGGACCUCCCACCGGAGCUCCUAGACCUUGUUGUCGCCGGUCUCCCUAACCCCGCCGACCGCGCCCGUUCCCGCGCCGUGUGCCGUUCAUGGCACUCCGCCGUGCGACGCCAUGGACCCCAGGCAGCCCAGCUACCAUGGAUGGUCUUCACUGAUGGUGAAGUCGUCACACCCACCAACGGUCCCUCGGGACACCCCACCUUCAUCCCCGAGAAUUCACAUCUCUCCGGCUCCGCCGACGAGUGGCUACUCUUCGGCGUCUACCACCGGACCCCCGAACUCAUCGACAACUAUGUUCUACGCAAUAUAUUCUCCGGAGAGCGUGUUUCUUUGACCGAGUUGGACGCAGCCCUCCACCCCGCUUACCGCGUCAGCAAGUUCCGGAUGCAAUCCACCGCCCAUGACUUCAUGGCCGUCGUCACCACCAACAAGAACCAUCCGCUCAUCGUGAUCCUGCCAGGAAAGGGUGUGUGGGUGCCCGAACCACGGGCAGUUCCAUAUGUUUAUAUCAUUGACAUUGCCUUCCAUGAAAAGAAGCUCUAUGGCAUUAGCAAGGCGGAGGACCUUAUCCCUUUUGACCUAGGGUUGGAUGAGGAUGGAAGGCCCAUGGUCACCAUUGCAAGGCAUGUAAUCCGACGGCCAAUUGAUUACGAUGGUUGGGAUGAUGAUUAUAGGCUAGCAACGAUGAAGAUGAUGAUGGCGAUGAAGAUGAGGACGACGUCGAAGAUGACAAUGAGGACGACGACGACAACGAAGAUGAUGUUGAUGAUCACGAUGACCAAGAUGAGGAAGUGA